Molecule: ribosomal RNA, 1750 nt
Filed under: Salmonella enterica
Lineage: Bacteria; Pseudomonadati; Pseudomonadota; Gammaproteobacteria; Enterobacterales; Enterobacteriaceae
Description: partial 23S ribosomal RNA
Rfam family: Bacterial large subunit ribosomal RNA
Source: RNAcentral
GGGGCUAAACCAUGCACCGAAGCUGCGGCAGCGAACGUAUCACCCAAGACAACUUUACGGAGUUGACGAUUGACGGAGCGAAGCGACGUCAAAGCGUUCAUUAAAGUCGAGUUGGCUUAGGGAUACGUUCGUUGGGUAGGGGAGCGUUCUGUAAGCCUGUGAAGGUGUGUCGUGAGGCAUGCUGGAGGUAUCAGAAGUGCGAAUGCUGACAUAAGUAACGAUAAAGCGGGUGAAAAGCCCGCUCGCCGGAAGACCAAGGGUUCCUGUCCAACGUUAAUCGGGGCAGGGUGAGUCGACCCCUAAGGCGAGGCCGAAAGGCGUAGUCGAUGGGAAACGGGUUAAUAUUCCCGUACUUGGUGUUACUGCGAAGGGGGGACGGAGAAGGCUAUGUUGGCCGGGCGACGGUUGUCCCGGUUUAAGCGUGUAGGUGUGUGUUCCAGGUAAAUCCGGUUCACUUUAACACUGAGGCGUGACGACGAGGCACUACGGUGCUGAAGCAACAAAUGCCCUGCUUCCAGGAAAAGCCUCUAAGCAUCAGGUAACAUCAAAUCGUACCCCAAACCGACACAGGUGGUCAGGUAGAGAAUACCAAGGCGCUUGAGAGAACUCGGGUGAAGGAACUAGGCAAAAUGGUGCCGUAACUUCGGGAGAAGGCACGCUGACACGUAGGUGAAGUGAUUUACUCAUGGAGCUGAAGUCAGUCGAAGAUACCAGCUGGCUGCAACUGUUUAUUAAAAACACAGCACUGUGCAAACACGAAAGUGGACGUAUACGGUGUGACGCCUGCCCGGUGCCGGAAGGUUAAUUGAUGGGGUCAGCGCAAGCGAAGCUCCUGAUCGAAGCCCCGGUAAACGGCGGCCGUAACUAUAACGGUCCUAAGGUAGCGAAAUUCCUUGUCGGGUAAGUUCCGACCUGCACGAAUGGCGUAAUGAUGGCCAGGCUGUCUCCACCCGAGACUCAGUGAAAUUGAACUCGCUGUGAAGAUGCAGUGUACCCGCGGCAAGACGGAAAGACCCCGUGAACCUUUACUAUAGCUUGACACUGAACAUUGAGCCUUGAUGUGUAGGAUAGGUGGGAGGCUUUGAAGUGUGGACGCCAGUCUGCAUGGAGCCGACCUUGAAAUACCACCCUUUAAUGUUUGAUGUUCUAACGUGGACCCGUAAUCCGGGUUGCGGACAGUGUCUGGUGGGUAGUUUGACUGGGGCGGUCUCCUCCUAAAGAGUAACGGAGGAGCACGAAGGUUGGCUAAUCCUGGUCGGACAUCAGGAGGUUAGUGCAAUGGCAUAAGCCAGCUUGACUGCGAGCGUGACGGCGCGAGCAGGUGCGAAAGCAGGUCAUAGUGAUCCGGUGGUUCUGAAUGGAAGGGCCAUCGCUCAACGGAUAAAAGGUACUCCGGGGAUAACAGGCUGAUACCGCCCAAGAGUUCAUAUCGACGGCGGUGUUUGGCACCUCGAUGUCGGCUCAUCACAUCCUGGGGCUGAAGUAGGUCCCAAGGGUAUGGCUGUUCGCCAUUUAAAGUGGUACGCGAGCUGGGUUUAGAACGUCGUGAGACAGUUCGGUCCCUAUCUGCCGUGGGCGCUGGAGAACUGAGGGGGGCUGCUCCUAGUACGAGAGGACCGGAGUGGACGCAUCACUGGUGUUCGGGUUGUCAUGCCAAUGGCACUGCCCGGUAGCUAAAUGCGGAAGAGAUAAGUGCUGAAAGCAUCUAAGCACGAAACUUGCCCCGAGAUGAGUUCUCCCUGAGACUUAG